Non-coding RNA from Triticum aestivum (bread wheat), 115 nucleotides. NCBI's taxonomy places the organism in Eukaryota, Viridiplantae, Streptophyta, Magnoliopsida, Poales, Poaceae. The record is from Rfam.
AUAAUACUCCCUCCGUCCGAAAAUACUUGUCGAGAAAAUGAAUGUAUCUAGAAGUAUUUUAGUUUUAGAUACAUCAAUUUUCGCGAGAAGUAAUUCUGCACGGAGGGAGUAUAUA